CGGGGAAAUACAUAAAGCAAAUCUGCCUGUGAAUAUUUUAUAUAACUACAAUAUAGAAUCAAAGUGGUUAGAACUGAGUGCCCAACAGAUUUCAAACCACGCUCUGCCUGGUAUCCUGGAACAGCCAUUGACAAUGGAUGGGAGUGAUUAGCUUUCUCUGGCUUUAACAGAAGACAAUUUGACGUUUGUCGUAGGAGAAGUCACACUGCAGGACUGGGCUCCAAAUCUUCUGACACUGCCAGAAUUUCAUCGGAGGACUCUGCUAACUUCUACUUACCUGUAUCCAGCGUUCCAUGUGAUUCCUAGUGUCUCCUCGUCUUCUGUGAGUGUCAUCGUGUCUCGUCUGCUCCACGAUCCCUGGGAAAGAUAAAGACAAGUAUCAGAUCCGGUAUCAUCUUCAGUCAUGAACUUAACCUGCUUCCACUCACCUGCACUCUGCCAACGUUCUCUGGUCGUUCAAUAAACUUGUAUGUUAACUAUACCUGUGUCUCUGUCCCCUUCUGUACAUAACACAAUGUCAUGUAAUGUCACAUUUAUCU
Long non-coding RNA from Megalobrama amblycephala (Wuchang bream), 539 nucleotides. RefSeq lists it as uncharacterized. NCBI's taxonomy places the organism in Eukaryota, Metazoa, Chordata, Actinopteri, Cypriniformes, Xenocyprididae. The transcript is spliced from 4 exons. The record is from RefSeq and is a predicted model, not a curated record.